This 141-nucleotide ribosomal RNA is filed under the name Anolis carolinensis (green anole). The record is from RNAcentral. Lineage: Eukaryota; Metazoa; Chordata; Lepidosauria; Squamata; Anolidae.
AAAAGAUCCCAUUUGAGCUUGAAAGGCACUCAAUCCUAUCUGAUCUUGGCAGCUAAGCAGGGUCAGCCCUGGUUAGUACUUGGAUGGGAGACCGCCUCCAUAGAUUGUGUGUCCGGCAGAGAAUUCCAGCUGCUUCCUUUU